GAAAUGCAUGACUGCAAGUCGCUUUGGAUAAAAGCAGCUGCUAAAUGGCAUAUA
Molecule: non-coding RNA, 54 nt
Organism: Salmo salar (Atlantic salmon)
Lineage: Eukaryota; Metazoa; Chordata; Actinopteri; Salmoniformes; Salmonidae
Source: Rfam